AUUUGCAAAUAUUUUUUCCCAGUCUGUGUCUUGUCUUUUCAUUAUCUUAACAAUGUGUAUCACUGAGAAAUUUACCUCCUACUUGAAAUGAAAGACAAGAACCCUCAGGACCCGAAGAUGUAUGCUCAGCAGUAUGGGAAGUAUGUACUCAAAGUUCCUCUAAGUGUGUGAGAGGAUGAAGAGCAUAAACCACUGAAGAGCUAAGUUUCUCCCAGGAGACCCCGUCAGGCAACAGGCAUAUGGUUCAGACUCCUCCAUCUUAUGGCCUGUUCCCCCGCUGCAGACCUUCACUAAGCACUGGCUCUGCACCAGGAGUGUGCGGGGCCCUGGCAUGCAGGGGCCCCAGGCCAGCCCCAGCCCUGCUCUGGAGCUUAUGGUCAGUCUAGGCUUGGGUUCUGCACAGCAGACUCUGAGACAGGGAUUUGAGUGAAGUAAGUAAUGUGGGAGGAACCCAGGAAGUUCUAGUAG
This 468-nucleotide long non-coding RNA is filed under the name Homo sapiens (human). Its description in RNAcentral is "non-protein coding lnc-VSX1-3:2". Lineage: Eukaryota; Metazoa; Chordata; Mammalia; Primates; Hominidae. The record is from RNAcentral.